This 151-nucleotide small nucleolar RNA is filed under the name Sphenodon punctatus (tuatara). The record is from RNAcentral. Lineage: Eukaryota; Metazoa; Chordata; Lepidosauria; Sphenodontia; Sphenodontidae.
CUUCAGUGAUGAUACGAUGACGAGUCAGAAAUGGGUCCGUCCUGCUAAGUGUAAAUGCCGUGCGGCGUCAUGUUCUAUGGUGCCGCGCUCGGGUUUCCUUAGCGAGCAUACCCUCUUCCCUGGAUGACACUGAGGCAUUUGUCUGAGAAGG